Molecule: ribosomal RNA, 502 nt
Filed under: uncultured bacterium
Lineage: Bacteria
Description: partial 16S ribosomal RNA
Rfam family: Bacterial small subunit ribosomal RNA
Source: RNAcentral
GAUUAACGCUGGCGGCGUGCCUAACACAUGCAAGUCGAGCGGCAGCGAGUUUUACACUGAAUUCUGGAAGCUUCUAGUUGAAAGAGAAGAUUUAUUCAAGAAUUUUGUGUAAAAUGUCGGCGAGCGGCGGACGGCUGAGUAACGCGUGGGAACGUACCCCAAAGUGAGGGAUAACGCAUCGAAAGGUGUGCUAAUACCGCAUAUGGUCUUCGGAUUAAAGCCUUCGGGCGCUUUGGGAACGGCCUGCGUAAGAUUAGAUGGUUGGUGGGGUAAUGGCCUACCAAGUCGACGAUCUUUAACUGGUUUGAGAGGAUGAUCAGUCAGACUGGAACUGAGACACGGUCCAGACUCCUACGGGAGGCAGCAGUGAGGAAUCUUCCACAAUGGGCGGAAGCCUGAUGGAGCAACGCCGCGUGCAGGAUGAAGGCCUUCGGGUUGUAAACUGCUUCUAUAAGUGAGGAUUAUGACAGUAACUUAUGAAUAAGGAUCGGCUAACUACGUG